CAGGCAUGUGCUUUUGCAGGAAGGACGCUGGACUCUUGCACUAUAAGUUGAAAACAUCGCUUAUAAACAAUACAUCACAGCACACUUGCAGAGAGAGCACUGGUUCAUCAAAAUAAGAUAUGAUCAAGGUACAAAAGAGUUAAAGAAGCUAUUUAUUUUAAUGUUUCCUUGGAGAGCACACUUGUUAUUGUAUGUAUGCAAAAGAUGAUCUUACUCUUGAGAGCCACUAGAACUCUUUGAAGAAAAAAAAAUGCUAUUUGCUAUAGGGAAAUCUUUCUGGAAAAGUAAUAAUUUCACCUUUGAGUCAGCUUCCCUGGACUCUUGCCUCAUACAUCUUCAGCCAAGAUGCCUGCCCCAGCUUUGCCUUCCACCAUGAGUAAAAGCUUCCCAAGUCCUCCCCAGAAGCAGAUGCUGGCGCUAUGCUUCUGGUACAGCCUGAAAAACCUUGAGCCAAUUAAACCUCAGUGAGCUCAAGAUGUCUUUGUUGAAACAGAACCUCCCGAAGUUACAGUAUUGGUUUUGGGGCUCCACACAGAGAACACAUCACGGAAGCUAUAAUUGAGGAAGACAAAGCUGUCAGGACGACACCAAGAGAGUUAGAAAGCCCAAGAGUGGAGCAUUCUUCACCAUGAUUCCACCUGACACUUGGCUGAAAGCAUUUUGCACUAAUUUGCUUUGUGCCCGUUCAGACAAUCUAAAAAGAAAGGAUGGGGGGACAACAAGUGUCUAUUACACAGAAUAAACAGCCUCUGGCAAAUGAAUACAUUUUACACACUUGUGCUUUUGGAGGGA
Molecule: long non-coding RNA, 792 nt
Filed under: Homo sapiens (human)
Lineage: Eukaryota; Metazoa; Chordata; Mammalia; Primates; Hominidae
Description: HSALNT0383564
Source: RNAcentral